Molecule: ribosomal RNA, 68 nt
Filed under: Flavobacterium sp. GSP27
Lineage: Bacteria; Pseudomonadati; Bacteroidota; Flavobacteriia; Flavobacteriales; Flavobacteriaceae
Description: partial 23S ribosomal RNA
Source: RNAcentral
AUAGGCUAUAGAUGUAAAGGCAGUAAUGUCAUAGUCGAGUAGUACUAAUAACCCGUAAGCUUAUGUAC